UCCCAGAACUUCUCCCAAAGGAUCCAGAACCUGGAGACACUUCCAUCUGUCAAGGUUCUGGAGCCAAUCAUCCAGCUCCCCGGAUCCCCAAAAGAAGUGGCAGAACCGAGAUCUGACUUCAAGACACCGAACUGCUUUCUUUAACCUAUCAUUCAGUACAUACAAAGUGUCUUUCAGCUUGACUGCAUAAUCUAAAGCAGCCGGCAAUAACCUGAAUGCUGAAAAGAGGUGGAGACCUUUAGGAUAACCACUUCACCUGUCUGCGUCUCAAUUUGCUUACCCACAAUCGGAGAGAGAUCUCAGGGAGACCGUAUGUUUGACCUCUGCUGUGCCUCUCAACACAGCGUUUUCUGAUCCUGUGAACUGAUGACAGGAAGCGAUUUAUCUCGCGUCAGCAAGGGGAGGGAGGGUGUGGUGUCAACGUGGAGUGUAUCAUCCCCGCCUCCCCUCUCCUCCAAGGCCUAAACUUAGAUGUAGCACUUUUGGCCAGUGAACAGAUGGGUGUUUCCAAGCUUCGUCCAGGCGGGAGGGCAGGGGUUGUCGCCUGGUUCACUGGCCACGUCUCUGAGCUCUGGGGUGUAUCACUCCUCAGGGAUCCCAGCCUAACACCUUCGAGGGAUACUGGGACGGUAAAGGGGCCUCAGAGAUGUCGCCUCUAGGGGGAGCACAGGUACAUCCGCAGCAUCCAGAGUCUCCCAGUCCACCUUUGCUGGCUAGUUCGGGGGGUGGAGAGUGCGUCAGUGGUUCAAGAUGCUCUAACUCCCUUAGUCACCAGUUUCAUAGCAAAUGAUUCAAGCUCUGAUGUGGACAGCAUGAGUUGGGUUGGUGGGGGGGAAGGAGUGGAAACCAAGCCUCAAUGUAGGAGUUCCAAUUUUCCAGCUCAGGGACUACCGCCACCCCUCCCCCGUCACCCCCGUGCGCCUGAAAAAAAAAAUUUUUUUUUUUUUCAAACUCUCUUGGCCCUUCCUUCCCGAUUUCUAGUUCUAUUGUGCAUUUAGAGGCUAAUAGAAUGGAUCCUGCCUUCCGGGUGGAGUUUAAAUAUAUAUGAAUAAUUUUGCACGACUAUUGCGUCAUCAUAAAAGUCGUCGUGGUCCCCCAAGAGGGCUCCACGUCUUCUCCCAGCUUCGGGGCCUUGGGACGCUUCUGGGCGCUGCGGACACUUUCGCGAGGAGCCCUCGGCUCCGCCCGAGCGCGGGUCU
Molecule: non-coding RNA, 1199 nt
Organism: Odocoileus virginianus texanus
Lineage: Eukaryota; Metazoa; Chordata; Mammalia; Artiodactyla; Cervidae
Source: RefSeq, a predicted model, not a curated record